Molecule: ribosomal RNA, 569 nt
Filed under: actinobacterium TDB-030
Lineage: Bacteria; Bacillati; Actinomycetota; Actinomycetes
Description: bacterial SSU rRNA
Rfam family: Bacterial small subunit ribosomal RNA
Source: RNAcentral
ACGGGUGAGUAACACGUGGGUGAUCUGCCCUGCACUUCUGGAUAAGCCUGGGAAACUGGGUCUAACACCGGAAAUGACCUCCUAUCGCAAGGUGGGUGGUGGAAAGAUUUAUCGGUGCAGGAUGGGCCCGCGGCCUAUCAGCUUGUUGGUGGGGUAAUGGCCUACCAAGGCGACCGGGGUAGCCGACCUGACAGGGUGACCGGCCACACUGGGACUGAGACACCGCCCACACUCCUACGGGAGGCAGCAGUGGGGAAUAUUGCACAAUGGGCGAAAGCCUGAUGCUCCGACCCCGCGUGAGGGAUGACUGCCUUCUGGUUGUAAACCUCUUUCAGCAGGGACGAAUAGCAAGUGACGGUACCUGCAAAACAACCACCGGCUAACUACAUGCCACCAGCCACGGUAAUACCUACGGUGCAAGCGUUGUCCGGAAUUACUACGGCUUAAAGAGUUCGUAGGCUGUUUGUCGCGUCGUUGGUGAAAAACCAGCAGCUCAACUGCUGGCUUGCAGGCCAUACGGGCAGACAUCACUACUGCCAGGGAUACUGAAACUCCUGGUGUAGCCGUCA